AGAGUUUGAUCAUGGCUCAGGAUCAACGCUGGCGGCGUGCCUAACGCAUGUAAGUCGAACGCAGGACCUUCGGGUCUUGAGUGGCGAACGGCUGAGGAACACGUACGAACCUGCCCGCUUGUGGGGAAUAACUCACCGAAAGGUGUGCUAAUACCGCGUACGCUCACAGGAAACUGUGAGGAAAGUCGCAAGACGCUGGCGGAGGGGCGUGCGGCCCAUCAGGUUGUUGGUGGGGUAAUGGCCCACCAAGCCAAUGACGGGUAGCUGGUCUGUGAGGACGAUCAGCCAGACUGGGACUGCGAAACGGCCCAGACACCUACGGGUGGCAGCAGCGAGGAAUCUUCCACAAUGGGCGAAAGCCCGAUGGAGCAACGCCGCGUGGAGGACGACGGCCUUCGGGUUGUAAACUCCUUUCGGGGGGGAUGACACUGACAGUACCCCCAGAAGCAGCCCCGGCUAACUCUGUGCCAGCAGCCGCGGUAAUACAGAGGGGGCAAGCGUUGUCCGGAAUUACUGGGCGUACAGCGCGCGCAGGCGGACUGCCACGUGCCGUGUGACAAGCCACUGCUCAACAGUGGAGGGCCAUGGUACACGAGCAGUCUGGAGGCAGGGAGAGGGAUGUGGAAUGCCCGGUGGAGCGGUGAAAUGCGUAGAGAUCGGGCGGAACACCAGCGGCGAAGGCGGCAUCCUGGUCCUGUUCUGACGCUGAGGCGCGAGAGCGUGGGGAGCAAACUGGAUUAGAUACCCCGGUAGUCC
RNAcentral lists this ribosomal RNA (756 nucleotides) under uncultured Chloroflexota bacterium. RNAcentral describes it as "bacterial SSU rRNA". It matches the Rfam family "Bacterial small subunit ribosomal RNA", at positions 8 to 796 of the family's 1533-position model. The record is from RNAcentral. Lineage: Bacteria; Bacillati; Chloroflexota.